ACCUGAUCCAGCGACGCCGCGUGGACGAUGAAGGUCUUCGGAUCGUAAAGUCCUUUUGUUAGGGAAGAAUAUUUUGACGGUACCUAACGAAUAAGAGGUUGCUAACUCUGUGCCAGCAGCAGCGGUAAUACAGAGACCUCGAGCGUUAUCCGGAAUCAUUGGGCGUAAAGCGUACCGAUAGGUGGUUAAGAAAGUCAGAUGUGAAAUCUCCGAGCUCAACUCGGAAUCUGUCAUUUGAAACUUCUUGACUAGAGGAGCAAAGAGGAAGCUGGAACGAACGGUGUAGUAGUGAAAUGCGUUGAUAUCGUUCGGAACACCAAUAGCGUAGGCAGGCUUCUGGGUGCUACCUGACACUGCUAGGACGAAAGCGUGGGGAGCGAAGGGGAUUAGAUACCCCCGUAGUCCACGCUGUAAACGAUGUACAUUAGGCGCUAGGGAGUAUCGACCCUCUUUAGUGCCAAAGCUAACGCGUUAAAUGUACCGCCUGGGGAGUACGGCCGCAAGGCUA
RNAcentral lists this ribosomal RNA (508 nucleotides) under uncultured bacterium. RNAcentral describes it as "bacterial SSU rRNA". It matches the Rfam family "Bacterial small subunit ribosomal RNA", at positions 381 to 896 of the family's 1533-position model. The record is from RNAcentral.